Molecule: long non-coding RNA, 408 nt
Filed under: Citrus sinensis (sweet orange)
Lineage: Eukaryota; Viridiplantae; Streptophyta; Magnoliopsida; Sapindales; Rutaceae
Description: long non-coding RNA (CSIN_LNC001199)
Source: RNAcentral
GUUUGGUGCCAUUAUUAGAGAUAAUGGUAGCUUUAUUUGGUGGGAUGAAUCAUCAUGAACUAGCAUUCAUGUUUCUUCAUUAUCUCUCUCAUUUCUAAACGAAAUUUCGAGAUUCCAAAUCCUCUGAACUCCUAGAACAUUUCUAAGUGUGGACUAAUUAGAGGCAUCACAAUUGGGGUGCUUUAAGGAUCUCAGAUCGUGGCAAAACAGAAGCUGUUCGUGCAGAGCUCUAUUUUCUGGACAGUGUUCGUAGCUUGCUGUUUUCAGUCGUUUUCUCCUACCUCACGAAGUCGUUUUCGAAACUGCAAGUGAGGUAAUUAAACUUCAAUCUUUCUUCUUGAUUUUCGUUUUUGAAUGAAGCCGAUCCGAGGUUUCUAGAGCUUCCGCCGUCCGUUUUAAUUUUACUGC